UACCAUGCAGUCGAACGGUAAGGCUCCAGCUUGCUGGGGUACACGAGUGGCGAACGGGUGAGUAACACGUGGGUGACCUGCCCUGCACUUCGGGAUAAGCCUGGGAAACUGGGUCUAAUACCGGAUAGGACCAUGGUGUGGAUGCUGUGGUGGAAAGUUUUUUCGGUGUGGGAUGGGCCCGCGGCCUAUCAGCUUGUUGGUGGGGUAAUGGCCUACCAAGGCGGCGACGGGUAGCCGGCCUGAGAGGGUGGACGGCCACAUUGGGACUGAGACACGGCCCAGACUCCUACGGGAGGCAGCAGUGGGGAAUAUUGCACAAUGGGCGGAAGCCUGAUGCAGCGACGCCGCGUGGGGGAUGACGGCCUUCGGGUUGUAAACUCCUUUCACCAUCGACGAAGGGUUUCUGACGGUAGAUGGAGAAGAAGCACCGGCUAACUACGUGCCAGCAGCCGCGGUAAUACGUAGGGUGCGAGCGUUGUCCGGAAUUACUGGGCGUAAAGAGCUCGUAGGUGGUUUGUCGCGUCGUCUGUGAAAUUCCGGGGCUUAACUCCGGGCGUGCAGGCGAUACGGGCAUAACUUGAGUACUGUAGGGGAGACUGGAAUUCCUGGUGUAGCGGUGAAAUGCGCAGAUAUCAGGAGGAACACCGGUGGCGAAGGCGGGUCUCUGGGCAGUAACUGACGCUGAGGAGCGAAAGCAUGGGGAGCGAACAGGUUAU
This 716-nucleotide ribosomal RNA is filed under the name Corynebacterium amycolatum. RNAcentral's name for it is "bacterial SSU rRNA". It matches the Rfam family "Bacterial small subunit ribosomal RNA", at positions 52 to 780 of the family's 1533-position model. The record is from RNAcentral. Lineage: Bacteria; Bacillati; Actinomycetota; Actinomycetes; Mycobacteriales; Corynebacteriaceae.